Molecule: ribosomal RNA, 545 nt
Filed under: uncultured Gigasporaceae
Lineage: Eukaryota; Fungi; Glomeromycota; Glomeromycetes; Diversisporales; Gigasporaceae
Description: SSU rRNA
Rfam family: Eukaryotic small subunit ribosomal RNA
Source: RNAcentral
UUGGAGGGCAAGUCUGGUGCCAGCAGCCGCGGUAAUUCCAGCUCCAAUAGCGUAUAUUAAAGUUGUUGCAGUUAAAAAGCUCGUAGUUGAAUUUCGGGGUUCUACCGUUGGUCGGGCAAUAGUCUGUACUGGCGUGUAGAACUUCUACCUUCUGGGGAACUAUCAUGUUAUUUAUUUAGCGUGGUAGGAAACCAGGACCUUUACCUUGAAAAAAUUAGAGUGUUCAAAGCAGGCUUACGUCUGAAUACAUUAGCAUGGAAUAAUAAAAUAGGACGGUGGUCCUGUUUUGUUGGUUUCUGAAUCACCGUAAUGAUUAAUAGGGAUAGUUGGGGGCAUUAGUAUUCAAUUGUCAGAGGUGAAAUUCUUGGAUUUAUUGAAGACUAACUUCUGCGAAAGCAUUUGCCAAGGAUGUUUUCAUUAAUCAAGAACGAAAGUUAGGGGAUCGAAGACGAUCAGAUACCGUCGUAGUCUUAACCAUAAACUAUGCCGACUAGGGAUCGGACGAUGUUAAUUUUUCUUGACUCGUUCGGCACCUUACGGGAAAC